AUGGAGUACGAAAUUAGUACUGGACAUAAUGCUCUGGAGCGCAUGUUAAUUGAUGGAAGUGCGGAGCCAAUGGAUCUGCCGUUAUCACUUUUAGAAGACAUCACAAAUUGUUUCUCUGACGAUCAGCAAAUCGGCAGUGGCGGGUUUGCAGUGGUCUAUAAGGGAAUGGUCGGAAAUGAGAUAAUUGCUGUGAAGAGGCUAUCCAGGAAUAUGCAUGAGAGUAAAUUCCACAAAGAGGUCGAGUGCUUGAUGAAGGCCAAGCACAAAAACAUAGUGCGUUUUCUAGGAUAUUGUUCUGACACGCAAGGGAAAAUUAUGGACUAUGAGGGGAAGAUGGUCAUGGCGGAUAUACGAAAUUGGUUGCUCUGUUUUGAGUAUGUACCUAACGGCAGUCUUGAUAAGUAUAUUACUGAUGCAUCUCAUGGACUUGAAUGGAGGGAGCGUUUUGAGAUAAUUAAGGGAACAUGUGACGGUCUAUGUCAUCUUCAUGAGAAGCGCAUUUUGCACUUAGAUUUGAAACCCGCUAAUAUUCUAAUAGAUGAUCACAUGGUACCCAAAAUUGCUGAUUUUGGCCUUACAAGGUGCCUCGAGAAAGAGCAAACCCACGUUUUUACUUCAAACCUUUGUGGAUCACUCGGAUAUUUGGCACCUGAGUUCUAUAGUGGGCAAGUCACAUUUGCAUCGGACAUAUAUAGUCUUGGCGUUAUAAUCCUGGAGAUAAUGACUGGACAAAAGGGUUACUCCGAAGAUAAGAAUGGGCUGGCGAGGCCAACAAUACGUCCGACGAUGUGCACAGAGGAUGAGGCGAGAGAGCAGCUCUGUGGAUGGCUUCCGGGAGAAUGCACCUCUUUAUUUUAUAUUUGGUAG
This 867-nucleotide ribosomal RNA is filed under the name Triticum aestivum (bread wheat). RNAcentral's name for it is "partial small subunit ribosomal RNA". Lineage: Eukaryota; Viridiplantae; Streptophyta; Magnoliopsida; Poales; Poaceae. The record is from RNAcentral.